RNAcentral lists this ribosomal RNA (799 nucleotides) under uncultured marine bacterium. Its description in RNAcentral is "bacterial SSU rRNA". It matches the Rfam family "Bacterial small subunit ribosomal RNA", at positions 41 to 889 of the family's 1533-position model. The record is from RNAcentral.
GGCAGGCCUAACACAUGCAAGUCGAGCGCGCCUUCGGGUGAGCGGCGGACGGGUUAGUAACGCGUGGGAACGUGCCCUUUUCUACGGAAUAGCCUCUGGAAACGGAGAGUAAUACCGUAUACGCCCUUUGGGGGAAAGAUUUAUCGGAGAAGGAUCGGCCCGCGUUAGAUUAGGUAGUUGGUGGGGUAACGGCCUACCAAGCCUACGAUCUAUAGCUGGUUUUAGAGGAUGAUCAGCAACACUGGGACUGAGACACGGCCCAGACUCCUACGGGAGGCAGCAGUGGGGAAUCUUAGACAAUGGGGGCAACCCUGAUCUAGCCAUGCCGCGUGAGUGAUGAAGGCCUUAGGGUCGUAAAGCUCUUUCGCCUGUGAUGAUAAUGACAGUAGCAGGUAAAGAAACCCCGGCUAACUCCGUGCCAGCAGCCGCGGUAAUACGGAGGGGGUUAGCGUUGUUCGGAAUUACUGGGCGUAAAGCGCGCGUAGGCGGAUUAGAAAGUUGGGGGUGAAAUCCCGGGGCUCAACCCCGGAACUGCCUCCAAAACUGCUAGUCUAGAGUUCGAGAGAGGUGAGUGGAAUUCCGAGUGUAGAGGUGAAAUUCGUAGAUAUUCGGAGGAACACCAGUGGCGAAGGCGGCUCACUGGCUCGAUACUGACGCUGAGGUGCGAAAGUGUGGGGAGCAAACAGGAUUAGAUACCCUGGUAGUCCACACCGUAAACGAUGAAUGCCAGUCGUCGGGUAGUAUACUAUUCGGUGACACACCUAACGGAUUAAGCAUUCCGCCUGGGGAGUACGGUCGC